Molecule: ribosomal RNA, 118 nt
Filed under: Microcebus murinus (gray mouse lemur)
Lineage: Eukaryota; Metazoa; Chordata; Mammalia; Primates; Cheirogaleidae
Source: RNAcentral
GUCUAUGGCCAUACCACCCUCAAUCCGCCUGAUCUCGUCUGAUCUUGGAAGCUAAGCAAGGUCGGGCCUGGUUACUACUUGGAUGAGAGAGUGUCAAGAAAUGCAGCGAAUUUGGUUU